UACAGAGGGUGCAAGCGUUAAUCGGAAUUACUGGGCGUAAAGCGCGCGUAGGCGGCUUGGUCAGUCGAAUGUGAAAGCCCCGGGCUCAACCUGGGAAUUGCAUCCGAUACUGUCAGGCUAGAGUGUAGUAGAGGGAAGUGGAAUUCCGGGUGUAGCGGUGAAAUGCGUAGAUAUCCGGAGGAACAUCAGUGGCGAAGGCGACUUCCUGGACUAACACUGACGCUGAGGUGCGAAAGCGUGGGGAGCAAACAGGAUUAGAUACCCGCGUA
This 269-nucleotide ribosomal RNA is filed under the name uncultured prokaryote. Its description in RNAcentral is "partial 16S ribosomal RNA". It matches the Rfam family "Bacterial small subunit ribosomal RNA", at positions 524 to 792 of the family's 1533-position model. The record is from RNAcentral.